CCUACGGGAGGCUGCAGUGGGGAAUAUUGCACAAUGGGGGAAACCCUGAUGCAGCGAAGCCGCGUGAGUGAAGAAGUAAUUCGUUAUGUAAAGCCCUAUCAGCAGGGAAGAAAAUGACGGUACCUGAGUAAGAAGCCACGGCUAACUACGUGCCAGCAGCCGCGGUAAUACGUAGGGGGCAGGCGUUAUACGGAUUUAACGGGUGUAAAGGGAGCGUAGACGGGAGUGCAAGUCUGGAGUGAAAGGUGGGGGAUCAAACCCCGGACUGCACGUGAAACUGUACAGCUGGAGUGCAGGAGAGGUAAGUGGAAUUCGUGGUGUAGCGGUGAAAUGCGUAGAUAUUAGGAGGAACACCAGUGGCGAAGGCAGCUUACUGGACUGUAACUGACGUUGAGGCUCGAAAGCGUGGGGAGCAAACAGGAUUAGAUACCCUUGUAGUC
RNAcentral lists this ribosomal RNA (440 nucleotides) under uncultured bacterium. RNAcentral's name for it is "partial 16S ribosomal RNA". It matches the Rfam family "Bacterial small subunit ribosomal RNA", at positions 338 to 795 of the family's 1533-position model. The record is from RNAcentral.